ACUCAAAUGAAUUGACGGGGACCCGCACAAGCGGUGGAUGAUGUGGUUUAAUUCGAUGCAACGCGAAGAACCUUACCUACCCUUGACAUGCCAGGGAGCCCGCUGAGAGGCGGGUGUGCCCGAAAGGGAACCUGGACACAGGUGCUGCAUGGCUGUCGUCAGCUCGUGUCGUGAGAUGUUGGGUUAAGUCCCGCAACGAGCGCAACCCUUGCCACUAGUUGCUACGGAAACGGGCACUCUAGUGGGACUGCCGGUGACAAACCGGAGGAAGGUGGGGAUGACGUCAAGUCCUCAUGGCCCUUACGGGUAGGGCUACACACGUCAUACAAUGGCGCAUACAGAGGGUUGCCAACCCGCGAGGGGGAGCCAAUCCCAGAAAGUGCGUCGUAGUCCGGAUUGCAGUCUGCAACUCGACUGCAUGAAGUCGGAAUCGCUAGUAAUCGCGGAUCAGCAAUGCCGCGGUGAAUACGUUCCCGGGUCUUGUACACACCGCCCGU
RNAcentral lists this ribosomal RNA (497 nucleotides) under uncultured bacterium. Its description in RNAcentral is "partial 16S ribosomal RNA". It matches the Rfam family "Bacterial small subunit ribosomal RNA", at positions 899 to 1397 of the family's 1533-position model. The record is from RNAcentral.